RNAcentral lists this ribosomal RNA (264 nucleotides) under uncultured prokaryote. Its description in RNAcentral is "partial 16S ribosomal RNA". It matches the Rfam family "Bacterial small subunit ribosomal RNA", at positions 524 to 788 of the family's 1533-position model. The record is from RNAcentral.
UACGUAGGGGCAAGCGUUAUCCGGAUUUACUGGGUGUAAAGGGAGCUCAGACGGAACUGCAAGUCUGAUGUGAAAGCCCGGGGCUCAACCGCGGGACUGCAUCGGAUACUGUGGAUCUGGAGUGCCGGAGGGGCAAGCGGAAUUCCUGGUGUAGCGGUGAAAUGCGUAGAUAUCAGGAGGAACACCGGCGGCGAAGGCGGCUUGCUGGACGGCAACUGACGUUGAGGCUCGAAAGCGUGGGGAGCAAACAGGAUUAGAUACCCU